UACGUAGGGGGCAAGCGUUGUCCGGAUUCAUUGGGCGUAAAGCGCGUGUAGGCGGCUUGGUAAGUCCGUUCUGAAAGCCCGGGGCUCAACCCCGGGAGGCGGAUGGAUACUGUCAAGCUUGAGUCCGGAAGAGGCGAGUGGAAUUCCCGGUGUAGCGGUGAAAUGCGCAGAUAUCGGGAGGAACACCAAUGGCGAAGGCAGCUCGCUGGGACGUGACUGACGCUGAGACGCGAAAGCGUGGGGAGCAAACAGG
This 253-nucleotide ribosomal RNA is filed under the name uncultured bacterium. RNAcentral describes it as "partial 16S ribosomal RNA". It matches the Rfam family "Bacterial small subunit ribosomal RNA", at positions 524 to 776 of the family's 1533-position model. The record is from RNAcentral.